UAUUUCAUCGUGAAUUUGAUCGACCUAGUGCCAUCGAAGAAUCUAUGCCCAACAUAUCAAAGCGAGUGCAGUAUUUUAAGGUCAGGUCGUCUAGAUUUACGACAGCUGUACUGAGUCAAUCUCUGCAGUCAAGAAAAAUCUAAUUAAAUUCGCGCAACCGUUUUAGGUUAGUGUACAACAAGGACGGGUAGACAUAGUCGGUGAAAAUAUUCAUCUAGGCCUACUAAUAUUAGGAUAGGGAACAGAGAAGUAUUAAGAUUGAUCGUGCAACACUAACACGGACAAUCUAUAUUGCAGAAUACUUGGCUACACGAGGUCAAGGAAGGUUGCUACGAGGAAGUUAAUUUCUCACGAUGCCAUGUCCAUAAUCAGUGCGACAUCUUCUGACAAUGGUUCUCGACUAUCACACUUCUAGACUGUUGAACGGAAUCUAGGGAGGGAGAUAAUCUACAUGAGAUGACUUGAAAUUAUGAUGGGCUUUCACACACGUGCGUAAAAGAGAGCUUCAUAUACGCACUCCAGGCAGUACAAUUAAGAAGACUAAGCAUCGGCCAAUACUCCAAAAUCCAUUGAACAUCAGUUUAACAUUCAUCUUUGGAAGACGCUGAAAGGAUAUAGGGCUUAUAUUUUGGAAUUGCAAUACACUAGACAAGAUGGAAAAAUCCUGGGAAGAAUCGCUUGGCUUUAACGCAAUCGCAGCAUUUCUCUUCUUCCUAGAGGUCUACCAUAUCGUUGGACAUGCCCUUAUAUUAUUCCGCAUUCGAUUACUUCCGCGAAAGGAUUUAGUACGUGUGCGGUACUACUUUCUGAUAGACGCAUUAACAGUGUUUGUGACGUCAUUUGUCUACACCGGAAGGCUGAGAUGGCUGGCUCUUUUGCAGAAUGCACAGCAUAUAUAUUUCUUCAUUACUUGGAACAGUCCCAAUGAGAAACAUUUCACAAAUAGGGUGAUAAGCUGGAGCUCCCUAGACUGGCUCAAGGACGAGAAGACCCAAUCCAGACAGGAAUGGUUUAUCUUCCUCGGAACAUUGUUUGACGUCAUAGUUCACUGUGUAAAUGCUUACAUCUUGAGUCAAUACAUGCACGCUGUUGAGAUGGUCGUUGGUUUGAGUUUGGUGAGCGUCCUGUCCUAUCUGAUCCUUUAUAACACGCGCUAUGCAUGGUCGAACCCGGACGAGGUGCCAAAAUGGGUGGAGAAACGCGUCAAGCCAGUUCCACCUCAGAACGUAGGGAACGCAACAGCAUACUUUUAAGUUCUUUCUUCUUUGACUAUAUUUAAUGUAACAAAAUGCUAUGGACGAUUUCCAGAUGCUUGAAACAAUGCAAUUAUGAACAAUUAAGUCUAGUCUUGACUUAUUUAGGUUUUGAUUAAGUAGACGGGGUUCAGAGAUAUGCUUAAAGACUAUGAGAAAUCAGCAAAUAUAUGGAAUAAGCAUUUGCAUGAUACUUUUCUACAGGGUGACAAAGAUACAACCCACUUAUUUUGGAAUAACUGAAGGAAGGAACCUUCAUGAUUUUUAU
This 1521-nucleotide unclassified non-coding RNA is filed under the name Owenia fusiformis. Its description in RNAcentral is "misc RNA OFUS_LOCUS22910". Lineage: Eukaryota; Metazoa; Annelida; Polychaeta; Sabellida; Oweniidae. The record is from RNAcentral.